AACGAACGCUGGCGGUAUGCUUAACACAUGCAAGUCGAACGGAUAUUUAUGAAGCUUGCUUUAUAAAUAUUAGUGGCAAACGGGUGAGUAACACGUGGGAAUCUACCUAUCAGUACGGAAUAACAUUUGGAAACAAAUGCUAAUACCGUAUAUUCUCUUCGGAGGAAAGAUUUAUCGCUGAUAGAUGAGCCCGCGCAAGAUUAGGUAGUUGGUAGGGUAAAGGCCUACCAAGCCGACGAUCUUUAGCUGAUUUGAGAGGAUGAUCAGCCACACUGGGACUGAGACACGGCCCAGACUCCUACGGGAGGCAGCAGUGGGGAAUAUUGGACAAUGGGCGAAAGCCUGAUCCAGCAAUACCGCGUGAAUGAUGAAGGCCUUAGGGUUGUAAAGUUCUUUUAGUAGGGAAGAUAAUGACGGUACCUACAGAAAAAGCCCCGGCUAACUCCGUG
This 449-nucleotide ribosomal RNA is filed under the name uncultured organism. RNAcentral describes it as "bacterial SSU rRNA". It matches the Rfam family "Bacterial small subunit ribosomal RNA", at positions 29 to 507 of the family's 1533-position model. The record is from RNAcentral.